AAAGGAAGAAAAGAAGACACAAACCCUAGGUGGAAAAAUUCAAGGGAAAAGUGUGAAAAUUCAAGUAAUCAAGCAAUCAAAGGUAAAAUUUCUUGAUUUUGACUUGUGAUAUACCUUUCCCAUGCAUUAUUUUGCAUUUUCCAUGGUUGAAUCACAAGAUAUCAUGAAGGAUUCAUGGCUGACCGAAUUUAGAGAGAGAAGAUUUGAUGAUUUAUUUGGUUAGAUUUUGAGAUAUUUUAGUGUUUAUAGUUGAUUUAUCAUGUUUGGAAGGAAAACAAGUAUGAAAAAUCACGUGUUCUUCAUGGAUUCUUCAUUGGCUAAAUUUUCCAUGUAGAGUGUGGAUGAUAAUUUUGAUUUUAUUUCAAGUGAAUUGGUUAGAAAAUGAUGAAUUAUGGUGAGAGAAUCAAGUAGGAAAAAUCAUAGUAUUGAUGCACCCACCAUGGCCGAAUUUUCCAAGAGAAAAUGUGAAAAUGAUUUUGCUAGAUUUUAUGCUAUUUGACUUGUGUUUGAUGAUUUGGAGUAUUAGGAGAAAAAUAAAAUUAUUUGGAGUUAAAUUGGACAUAUUGGCCAAUUAAUCGAGUGAUAGAUCGAAUUGGGCCAAUACCGUUUUAUUUAGGUACACAAUUGAAUGUGUGUAGAGCACCGUGUUUAGACGAUAAUCCGAACAAUUUGCAUCCCAUUUCAUACAUUAGUAUAAAGCCUGAAUUGGUUUUAUAACAAUUUAGCACAAUGUAGUAAAUGGCUUAUUGUGCAUUAUGUCUAGGUGGUGAGCAUUCCGGCAAAAGUAAAAAGAUAGUACCCAAUGAUCAAGAAUCGGUGUACUUGGGAUUCAACUCCCGAAAUAGUGAGUAACCUUACUAUCGUCUUAAUUAUCUAAAGUGGUUUUUAUCCGAUUUUGUGAUUUUAUGGAAAAUGAGUUUAAAUGGCAAAUCUUUAUGUUUUAUAAGCAAAAUGUGAUUAAAUGAAAUGAUUUUAUAAAAUUGUCUUGAAAUUGAAUGAUGGUUUUGGAAAAUGGAGUAAUUGGAGACUAAUUGCUGUGUUAUAAAUCAUGGUUUGAAAUGAAUGGCUUAUGAUAAUAUUGGCAUGAAUGGUUGAUUUGGUAAAUGUGUUGAAAAUGUAUGAACUGUUUGCCUUGAGAGGCUGUAAAAUAAAAUAAUUGCCAUGUCAUACUGUUAAAUUUUAUUGUAUGGUGGGUUUAGUCGCUGCAGUGGACGGGUUCCAUAGACCAGCCUAUUAGAGGGGCAUAGUAAUCCUAUUAUAUUCAUACCUCAGUGAGAGGUGCAGAUGGAUAACUCCCGAGGUUAACACUUUAGAGUUCGCUUCACGCCCAACCACCACGUGAGGGUGAACUUAGCCAACGCCAAGGAAUGAUUACGUUUUCAAAAUAAAAGCACGAUUUAUGAGUACAUAACUUUUUAACAACCUUGGCAAUCUCGGUUGGGAUAGCCCUCGGUCAAGGUAUCCCUAAUAACUGAGUAUGAGAAUGAUUUUGGCAUGAGCCAAAGUUUUAAGAAAUUCAUAAGCCAUGUUGAUUACUUGAUUUAUAUGAAUUGAUUUUAUUUGGUUGAAAUGAGUUGAAAGGUGAUGAAUUACAGUUUGUUAAAUUAUUUUAUUUGUCUCCAUUUACUUAGCUUUAGAUAUUUUAGAUGGUAUUUGUUUACUCACUGGGAUUAUAUAAUCUCACCACCCUCAUUUUCACCCAUUUCAGGCUCAGGAUAGUCGGUAGAUAGCUCAUUUCGUUGAGGGCUACGGUUGGACUUGCAUCCUCAAAAAUUGUAGGUUCAUAGCCUUCAUUACUUUUGGACGUUCGUGGGCCAAUGUGUCACUAUAAAUUAAAUUUUAUACUUUGGUUAUCUGUAUUACAGUAUGUAUGAAUUUAUUUAGCUUUUACGCUAUAAAAAUUAUUUACCGGUAACUCUAUAAAUAUUGUUUUAUAAGAAAAUAGAAUAUUUUAUUGAAUAUUUUUAUUAUAUUCAAAUAGUUAUAAUUUCACUUUAAAUGAAUGUUUUAGAUAUCUAGACUUAUUUUUGCUUAAGAAAUAUGUGUUUUUCACUUGCAUACAACCUUUUUAGUUGGUUUUGAGAUUUUUGAGGAAAAAUAACCAAAAUGCCCCUGUGAGCGAAAAAUUAUUUUUCUAUUGUUUUGAUUUGGAAAUAGUUUAUAAUUUCUCAAAACAUGAUACUUAGCAACAGUUACUCAUAGGAGAAAUGAGAAACUGAUAUUAAAGCCUUGUGGGGUUUCGAUCGGCAUUCCCGGCGAUGAAUGUCUAUCGAGACAUCGUGACGGUUGUCACGGGCUCGAGGGGAGUACCGGGUCGUGACAUUUUGGCUGAGCCUAGUAAAAGCCAUUGUAAAGCUUGGUGAAAGGUUGUGUAUUUCUCCAGUUCUUAGUGGAUUGGUUGGAAAAUCCUUGGUUAAAUAAUCAAGGUAGUGGAUGUAGGUCUUGGACCAAACCACUCUAAAUUCCUGCGCAUUAUCUACUUUGUUUUUAUUUUCAUUGCUUUUUAAAUUAGUUCCUCAUCUUGCCAAGAGCCAAAAAGUGCUAUUCACCCCCCUCUAGCACAUUUAAUUGGGACCAACACUUAAUCUAUUAAACUUAGUUAAGAGAGAGAGACAAUAUUGCUGAUGUAUUAAUUUUAUUUAUUAGUUUAUUAGUUUCAAAUUUUCUUUCUAAUUUUAAUUGUUUAGAUAAAAUUAGGGUGUGUUAAUUUUAGUAGUUAAUAAUAAGGAUUAAUUCAAUUCUCUGUGGGAUCGACACGCUACUCAUUUUUAUAUUAUCUUUGUGAUAUGUAUACUUGUGUGGUUAGGAAAAUUGAACAACAAGCCCCUUGGUUCAUAUUUACAUAUAACUUAGUCAUAACAUCCACAUAGCCAUGCAUUGACUAAAUACAUUUUGUUCCCCUAAAACCUUUCAUUAAGUAAAAUAUGAGGCAAUGCAGUACCCACAUAAUCUGUUACAUGACAUGCAUUGAAAACAUUUAGUGAAGAAGUGUAAUACAUAACCUUAACUCAGCAGAGUAGGCUCAUCAUAAAAGAAAGUCGACUAGAUCUCAAAAUUUGCUCGUCUAGACAACGACGUUAAGCCACUUGAAAUUUGUUGUAUGUUUAUCUGCACAAUACAAUUGAAAGGUGAGUCAUACUAAUACUUAGUGAGUGGAAGCAUAUAAUCAAUUGCAAAUGUGCAAGGAUAAUUGCUACAUAUAUUCUCUAAAUAUACAUACAUUACAAUAGGCUAAAACUUAUGUAUAGUUAAAAUAGGUCAAGCAUCACAUGUCAUAAUUAUCCUGUCAUCAUCACGGUAGCCAUACUACGCUACUAACAUAUAACUAUUUCUAGCCAAAACUCAUGAUUGUUGCUAAUUUCACAUCAUACUUAUCUUACCUGAAGAACAUUCAUAUUCAUGUUAAGUUUGCGGACACUUCAAGCAUAGUCUAAGCUUGUCUUUGGUCAAUGAACACAUACAACCCUUACCAUUAACCAUUUCAUCAAUUACAUCCUAUAUAUCAUAUCAUAUCGUAUAUCUCAUAAUCGUAAACUAGAAGCAUAAUAUACAUGGUUCAAUCAUCAUUAUCAUAGAGUGGUCCUCUUUGGACAUAACAAAGUCAUGUACGGUGGCCAACCAAUAAACAACAUAUCAUAUCAUAUCAUGCUCGAUAUCAUAGUCACCAGCAAAAAUUAUGUCACACCUAGUGCCGUAGCAACUGGCAAAGUGUCAUAAUCAUCAUUUGGAAUAACAUCAACAGAUGGUAUCAUAGCACUGUAGACUAAAAUCACAACCAAAACUAAACCACCAUCCUUACUUACUUUAACUUUCUUAGCAAUUGACAAAGGAAUAAUUGAAACACCAACACCCAAAUCACACAAAGCUUUAGAGAAUUUAAAUUUGUCAAUAGUACAUGGAUAGAAAAACUUCUUAGAUCUUUAAGCUUCGGUGGAAGCUUGUUUUGAGUUAUCGCAUUGCACUCCUCAGUAAGUGCAAUUGAUUCAAAGUCUUCCAAUUUUGUCUUCUUGGUUAGGAUGUCUUUCAAGAAUUUGACAUAACUUGGCAUGUUUUCCUAAGCUUUAGCAAAAAGAAUGUUUAUGUGGAGCUUCUUGAAGACAUUGAGAAAUUUCUCAAACUAUUUAUCAAGCUAUUGUUUUUGCAACCUUUGUGGGAAUGGUGGUGGAGGAUAAUUUGCUUCAAACUUCACUUAAUUUUUAGCUUCCCCAUCAUAUUUCUUUUUAGCUUCAACUUUUCUCUCAACAAUUAUCUCUUCAUCAUCCACAUGCUUUUUUGAAGAUUCAAUUGAUUUUUCACUCAUCCCUUCAACUUCUUUUCCACUCCUAAGGAUAAUUGAUUUGCAUUGUUCCUUACCUUUAGGAUUGACUUGAGUGUCACUUGGCAAGGCACCUUGGGGUCUAUUAUUAAUGGAACUAGCAAAUUGUCCCAUUUGAAUCUCAAGAUUUCAAAUUGUUGCUACUUGAUUCUGAAUGAUGGCACCAUUCUUUGUCAUAUUGGCAUCAGUCUUUGUCAUGAAUUGCAUGAACAUCUCUUCCAUAAUAGGCUUCUUUUCUAGGACAGAAGGUUUUGCUUGUUGUGGAAAGCCAAGAGGAAAGUUUGGCCUUUGAUUUGAAGGUCUUGGGUUAUUAUUCCAUGAGAAGUUUAGAUGGUUUCUCUAACCAGGAUUAUAAGUAUAAGAGUAUGGGUUAUUUUGUUGCCUGUUGAAGUUCCCAACAAACUGAACUAAUUCAAGAUUAGAUGGACAUUGAUCUUUUAAAUGGCUAUCUCCACACAAAUCACAAGUUAUAAAGGAGUUUUGGAUAGCAUUAACUGCAUCUUUUUGUCAAUGCAGCUACUUGUGAAAUCAAAGCAUUCAGUGCAUCAAUUUCAUAAACAUUAACAUUUUUCAAGAACUAGAUCUUUCGGAAGGCCAUUGGUAAUUAUUGGAUGCCAUCUCUUCCAACAAAUUAUAAGCUUUAUUAGGAUUUUUAUCCAUCAAUGCCCCACUAGCAGCGACUUGCAUGGAUUCGACCUUUUACUCAAAUAUGAAAAUAAUCAAUAAAUUAAAAAUAUAACGCAACAAAAUAAUAAACUAGCAUUUAAUCAGAGAAACAGUCGAAUCCUACGGGAUCAUUGUUUGUGUUUUUCAUGUAAUUUUCAAAUUAAUUAUGAACACUCAUAAGUUUAAGAGUUACAUACCUUGCUCUAGAUAUUAUAGUCAAGAGCCAAUUAAAUCAAAAUCUUUGCUUCUUCACCUUUAGAAUUUGUCAAAUCUUCAGCCAUCCAAGUGUUUGGCCUCUAACAGUAAUCCACACAGUGACUGAAUAAGACUUCUCAGAGGUAGGAUUUUUUUUACUUGUGCUAGCAAGUUUUGUUUCUAAAAUAAAAAGACCAAAAGGUCUUGCUGAAUCUUUGUUUUUUGUCAUACAAAGAAAAUUAUUUUUCUUUUUUUUUAUUUUAUGAAACAGUUGAGAAGUGGAUGGGGGUUUAGAGUUCUAGUUUGCUAAUAUAAUAUAUUUAUAUAGCCAAACUAAGUUGCAACCCUAAAUACAAUAGUUGUAUUUUAAUUUAAUUAAGUCUCUGUGAACUUAAUUAAUUUUCCACUUUCUUUUGGUCUAUUCUAAUUAAGUCCAACUUAAUUAAUUAUCCUUAUUUAAUCCCAAUCAUGUCACUUAAUGUAUGUGACCCAUUACGUUUAUAACAUGUUGGCAAUAAAUAUAAAUCCUAAUCAAAUAUCAAUUUGAUAAUUGAUUUAUAUUUAUAGAUUAUGAGGGGCAUCUAGUUGUACAUCAUGACCACCCAAAUGUUAGAGAGUUAAUUAAAGAAUUUGAUAAAGCCUUUCAGUGAUAAGCCUAUAAGUGCAAUACGGUCUUUUCAUCAAAUAUCCCGGAUAUAUCAUUAAGCAUGGCUCGGUGUCUAUUUAUGACAUUCCAUAUUAGUUCUCAUAAUUCAUGACUAACCUUAUGAAUUUAGGAAACUAACUUUCCUCAAAUUCAUCAUGCUUUGGCCAAAGGCUUUAUACAAGUUAAUUAAGAAUUGAGAACAAGUGAGAUACAUCCUCUCAUAUCACUUGGGGUGAUGAAUCUUGUCUUGACCAAUCAUUCACCUUCGCAUGCUUCAUGGCAUACCCAAAAACACCCUGUUUAGGCAUCUGGUCACUUCCAAACUUAUAGGGGUGAAAUCAAAGUAUGUCAUUCCCCAUACAAGAUGACUUGGUGUCUCAAGUUUAAGGACUAGUUGCACGACUGUCACAUGGGAACAUAUUCCAUAUACACUUUAGUAAAAUACCAAAUGGAGUUCUAAUAGCAGGUCAUGUUCAGUGAACUUGUUCUUUAACAAGCACCCACAUGUUAUCCUCAAGUAUCUCAUAUACUUUAAUCUAUUAGAUCAAUUUCUUACUUCCCAAGUAAAGAGGCUUAACAUGUACCGGUCUUUGAGCAUUGUCAAUGCCCUGUCUUGACAAUACAAUGACCAGAAACAAUUUUAGGAACAUGGCUUUGAUGCACAGUGAUCUCAUAAUUGUAACAACUUUACAAUUCUCUUGCAAGGCUUUUAUGUUCCAUGGGCUUCAUCCAAUUAGUACUUAAUAACUCAUUUUUUUUGCACUAACAUGAAGGAAAACCUCUAUCACAUAUAAUUAUGCGAUUAAAUAUGUAUUAAAUGACAAUAUAGAUUCCCUGACCAAUCUAAUUGGCUUAAGGGCAUAUACUAACACGACAUCAAUUGUAGAUUUGAUUAGACUGAUCAACCCAUUACAGAAUGUCCAAACUUUAAGCCAUUGAGGAAGCACAUGGUGUGGACAUCUUCUAAGCAAAUCUUUAAAUUGUUCCCAAACCUUAUAUAAGGAUUCACCAUCAAAUUGUAUGAAGGAAGUUAUAUCAUUCCUCAAUUUUGUAAUCUUUGCAAAUGGAAAGAAUUUUGCUAAGAAAUUUUGAGCUAAGUUAUCCCAUGUAAUAAUAGAUCUAGUUGGCAAUGAAUUUAGCCAACUCUUUGCUUUAUCCCUCAAUGAAAAAGGAAAUAGUCUAAGUCUAAUAGCAUCAUCGGUCACCCAAUUAUAUUUGAAAGUGUCACAAAUUUUCAAAAAAUUAACCAAAUGGGAAUUAGGAUCAUCACUAGGUAACCCACCAAACUGAACAAAAGAUUAAAUCAUUUGAAUGUAAGUAGGCUUGAUCUCAAAAUUGUUUGCAUUGAUAGGAGGUCUUCUAAUGCUUUGGUGCAAGCCUUGUAAAAAAAGAAUAACAUAAUAUCGCAGAGUUUUGUUCUCUUCAAGCGUCUGAUUGAUAGCAUUGUUACCAUGAUUAUUAUUAUUAUCUUUAGUUAUUGUUUGAUUUAGAGUUUGAACUUGCAAAUUUUCCUUUCGAAGUUUUCUAAAAGUUUUUUCUAUCUCUGGAUCAAAAGGAAUAAGUUUCAAGUUCCUCAUUUGCAUACAACAAUCAAAGAUGCUUGAAAAACAAGAAAAUAAACAAAUAAAAUAAGGUUUGAAUUAAGACUAAAGUUGCUUGGUAUUAAUAUUAGUAAAAAUUCUAGAAAACAACUUUCCAGCAACGACACCAAAAACUUGUUAGUUAAAAUUCUACCUACGCAAGCACACAUAUCAAACAUAUAGUAUAUUAGUAAGCAAAGUAUUGAUCCCUUAGAGAAUUGUUCUAAAAAUUUACUAAGUACUAAAAUUAAAACAAGUUAGUUUUAUUCAAAUAAUCAAAACUUGGAUAAUUAAAUUAACAAAAAAUUAAUCAACAAAAACUAAACUAAUAUACACUAAUUAAAAAUCAAAACAAAAAGAUAAUUAAAUAAAAAUCAAAUUGGAUAAGCCUAGGAUUGCAAUGUCGCUCACACUUCAUCUAAAUCUUACUUCUCUCUCUUAACUUAUUCCAAUAAGUUGAAUUGCUAACCUAGAGACCUCAAUUAUUUAUAAUGCUCUUCCAAGUCUCUUAUAAAAAUAUCUACUUUAACCAAAACACUAUGUUCCUAUGUGAAUUGAAAUUGAAAUAGACUCAUUAAGUUCAAGUUCUAAUACUAGCUACAUAUGGCAUAUAGAUAUGUUCCUAUCUUAUAUACAAAUUAAUUUAUUCAUCUAAGCAAACAAAUAUGAUUACAUGCUUUUUCAAUUUUAGUCUACACUAAACUCCCUUUCCCAAGUUUGUUUAGGCUUAUAAAUCAAUUUAAUUGGUGGCUAAACAAUUAAAAACAUUAAGAACAAAUUGGAAUAAACAAUUCUAUCCCGUUGAAAAAUAAGCAAGAAAUAGAUUAAAAAUUUAAACUACAUGUAAGUUCAAUUGCAAUCCUAGAAAAAGAAUUUUUUUUAAAGCUGAAAGUUCUUGUAGGGCCCAACUAUCCUGUCAAAAUUUUAUUAAUAAUUAAAAUUGAAUAGUACAUUAGAGAGGGGGACCUAAAUUGUACCUUUAGAGUCAUAUGAGAAAGGAGAGAAAGAAUUCCUAUUAUAGGAAUUACUAUCUUUGCAAUUAUUUUAAAUGCAUAAGAUAAGUAAUUUACCUGUAUAUUAGAGUCUAAGAUUAAAUCAUACAAAAUUAGAAUGAGGAGUAGUACUCCUUUAUAUUUAUUUAAAUCUAACAUAAGGAAGAGUAAUUUUUUCUAAAUUUAAAAUUCUAAGCAACUUCCCUUGAGCUUCAGAGAAAACUUUCAGAUUUCGCUGUUGAUGACUAAGAUUAGCUAAAAGAUCUGCAGCUUAGUUACCUUUUCGGUGUAUAUUAGAGAAGUGAGUUAAGCAUUUUUUGAUAGAAGCUAAUAAAUACCGACUACCAUGUGAACCGCGGUAUCCCUUCUUCAGCAUAUGAAUGACAACCAUAACAUUUAACUUAACCCAGAUCUUCGAAAUAUUAUACUUUCUGCAUAAAACAAGACCUCUAUAUAAGGCUAGUAGUUCCGCAUGUACAGAAUUAUUGGAUCCAAAGUUUUCUAAGAAGCCAAAUAUUAGUGAACUUGUGUGGUCUCACAAAAUUUUACCUUCUAUAGCAUUCUAAAAAUUGUUUUUAGAACUACCAUCAACAUUCAAUUUAAACCCACUUGUCAAUGGUUUAUGCCAAGAUAAUAUUUUGGGUGGUAAGGCUAUGUCCCUUUGGAAUUUUAAUCCCAACACUUGAGCUAUCUGAAUAUCACCUUUCUAUUGUCACUUUUUCAAUUGCCUCCCAUGAAACAACUAGUGUAUAAGUUUCAAAAUACACCACACCACUCUAUUAGGAUACAUGCCCAGAUUUCUAUGUUUUGCAUCAUUACGUUCCAUCCAUAGGAACCAAAAAAUGAAUAAAGGCGAUAAGGUGUGAAUGUGUCCCUGCUUAGUCUAAUCACCAGAAUAUACCCAUGCCCAGAUAAUUUGAAUAAUAGUCUGUGGAUUCAUAACAUUGAUUUGAAAGAAUUUUGCAAAAAAAUUCAAAACCUAUUUAGCCAUGGGGCCAUCCCACAUGAUAUGUAGAAGGGAUUCCUCUGAGUUGCAGCAAUUACAUUUAGAAGUUAGUUGGAAUCCUUUUGUUUUCAUUCUCAUCUCCACAGGAAUCCAAUUAUUUAGUAAUCGCCAUAAAAAGAAAGAAGUUGUGAGAGGAAUACUCUUAUGCCAAAUAAAAUUAAACAUAGGAUUUGUUGUUUGUCGUUUCCAAAUUAAAUCCCAUGAGCUCUUAGUGGUAUAAUUACCAUUGAAAGUAAGUACCCAAUAAGCGAUAUCUUCAUUAGAUGUGUCAAUAGGAAUUUUUAGAAUAUCAGCAAUUACCUCAUUUGGUAGAACAUGUUUCAAUUUGUCUGCAUCCCAUUCACCAGUAUCAAAAUAAUAGCAAACUUGUGUCAUUGAUGAACGAGAAACAGGGAAAAGAUUUGCUAGUGGUUCAUUGCCCAUCCAGCAAUCAUGCUAAAAAAACAAUUUGCCUCCAUCAAUUCGCCACCUCAUAUGUUCUUUUGUAAUCGAGCAGCUAGUAAUCAUACGUUUCUAAGUCUGUGAAUCAUAAAUUUUUGGUUAGACAUACUUGGGAAGUCGACCAACACAAUAGUUUGUCUUCAAAAAUUAUGUCCACAAGCUGUUACAUGUUUGAAAAUGCCACCAUAAUUUAAUACUGAAGGCCUUUAAAACAUCCCCUAGGCCUCUGAUAUCUAAACCACCUUCAAAAGAUAAGAAAGUUAUUUUAUGCCAUGAAGCCCUGUAAAUCCGUCUAGCAUUAGCCGAACCCCCCCACAAGAAAUUGUUAAAUAAUCUCUCAAUUUUAUCAAUAACACAAACAAGAGGCUUAAGAACUUGAAGUAAAUAGAUAGGCAUUGAAAACAAUACACUUCUCAAUACAGUUAGCCAGCCACCUGAGGAAAGAAUCUUAUUCUCCCAUCCUAUGAUUCAAUUCUGUAUUUUAGUUACAAGAUCAUUAAAUAAUAGUACCUUUCUUGGGCCUUUGUAUAGAGGUGCCCCAAAAUAUUUGAUAGGUAGGCACUUAUAAGUGAAGCUUGUAGCUUGAGAUAUAAUUUGCCUUCUAGUGUUUGCUAUAUUCUAAUGAGUUAUAAAGCAAUUCUUUUGAUGGUUAACACGUUGCCUAGAGACUUGCUCUUAUUCUUGAAAAAAAUAAAAGAAUUUUCUACAAGGUCGAUUUACUACCAUUAGUAAAUAUAAAGACAUCAUCUGGAAAUGUCGGGUGGCUUACAGUCGUUGGACAACUAGAGAAAUAGUGAAUAGAGCAGUAUAUGGCAUAUAGGCAAUUUAAAUGUCGAGACAAAUACUUUGCUGCUAAAACAAAUAGUUAAGGAGAAAUUGAGUCACUUUGGUGUAAUCCCCAUCGUGAUUUAAAAUAACCCACUGACUUGCCAUUGAUUAACAAAGAGAACCAUCAAUUCAAAAUGCCUUGUUGAAUCGUAUCUAUCCACUGUAGGCUGAACCCAAAUUGUUGCAACACUCUAUAUAAAACUUUCCAAUCUAGCCAAUCGUAAGCUUUCAUCAUGUCUAGCUUAAGAACAACAUUUCCAUUUCUUGCUUUUUGAUCAAUUUUCCAUAUUAAUACCUAUGCUAAUAAGAUAUUAUCACUGAUAUGCUUGCCACUCACAAAACCACUUUGAUUGUCAGUAAUAAUAAUAGUUAGAAUUUUAGCCAGACAAUUAGCCAAUAGUUUAGUGAUGAUCUUAUUUAAAAUGUUCAUAAACUAAUUGGUCUAAAUUCACUCCAUUGUGAUUAAUCACUCUUCUUGGGCAAAAGCAUUAGAGUGGUGGACGUGAUCCCCCUUGGAAAAGUUGCUCCAUGAAAGAAAUUGAUCACUACUUGAAAAAAAUCUUCAGCUAUAAUAUCCCAACAUUGCUAGUAGAAAAAUGAAGAGAAUCCAUUUGGGCCAGUGACACUAUCUUUUUCAAUAUCAAGCAUUGUUAGAGUCAGAUACAAUAGUAAGAGUUAAAGAAUCAUAAAACUUGGUCAAAUCACCAGGUUCCGUUUUCAUAAGGGAGGAAAAAAAUUGAACUGCUGAAGUUUGUAUUAGAUCUGGAUCUUUCAACCAAAAACCAUCCUAGUUUUGGAUUUGGAAAACAAAGUUCUUCGGUUUUUUUAUCUAUAUUCUAAUGUGAAAAAACUUGGUAUUCCUAUCCCCUUCUACUAGCCAUUUAAUACCAGAUUUUUUUUGCUAGAAAGCUUCCUGCACCCUUAGACAAUGGUUCAGCUUUGCAUAGGAAUGAUUCAAAAUCUCCCUAUUCUCUAUAGAUUGUUGUUGCUGGAAUAAAAGUUUACUAGUUUUAGCUUGCUUUUUUACCUCCUUCAAGUUGCUAAAAAUAUCACCAAAUAUUGUCUUAUUCCACCAUUUAUGAUUUUGUUUCAACUUCAAUUAUUUUCCCCAAAAAACCUUCAAAUCCCGUGCCUUGUAUAGGAAGCUUCUAAUUGUUUUCCACAAAAUUUUUUAAUGCAUGGUGCUGAACCCAAGCAUGCAAGAACCUAAAGGAUGAAGGACCUUGUUGAGAGGUUGUAGAACAAGAGAUUAGUAGGGGGCAAUGAUUUGACCUACCUUUAUUUAGAUGUUGUACUCUUAUGGUGGAAAAAACUGCUACCCAUUGAUGGUUGUAUACUACUUGGUCUAACCUUUGAAAUAUCUGGGAAUUUGUCCAUAUAAAAAAGUUGCCUUCAAACCCACCAUCCAUUAAACAACAGUUUAAUAAUGUCGUGGCAAAGUCCUCCAUAGAUCCACCAUGCGAAGCUGCCCUAUAAAGCCGUUCCUCCCUUUCCAAAAUAAUAUUGAAAUCCCCUCCCACUGACCAAGGAUCAUUGAUAUCUGCAGACAAGCCUUUCAAAUAGUCCCAUAGCAUAUGUCUUUCCAACCUAGUGCAUAUAACGUAAACAAAAGAAGCUAAGACUGGUGAUGCCAACCAUGGUAAAGCGAAUCAAAUAUGCAAGCAUUGAAAAUGAUCAAAUAAAAUAUUACAAUUAACAUAAUGAGUCCAAAAAGGCCAUAUUUUGUUAGAGUUGUUGGAAAUAAGUUUUUCAAACCCUAAUUUCUUUCUAUAACAUUCAAUUUUAGCAACUUCCGCCAUAAGUUCUGGGACAACCAAAAUUUUUAUUUUAUACUGAUAACUAUAUUAUAUAAAGUUAUUUUGACACAUUUUAAGGGCUUAAGUAGUUAGAUCUUUGAGAUUUUAGGUUUGAAUUGUAGCAUUUUAGGUGUUUUUCUAGUUGAAGUUUGAUUACAUGUUGAGUAGUUAAUUUAAGUUAUUAAAUGUUGAAUGAAAUCAUAAUCCUAGACUCUUAAUCCACUGCUUUUCAAUUAAAUUUAGAGUCCUCUCCUUAGUCUAGUUUAGUUAAGUAAAUUUUAUCUUUAAUUAAUUUUCAUAAAUUUGAUUUACUUGGAUAAAAGUAGGAUGCAUUAAAUUUAGUAUUUAGCAAAAUUUUAGAUACAAUCCUUUUGGGAGAUGAUACUUACUUUUUCAAUAUUGCUUGUGCGACACAUGCACUUUCGUAUGAAAACCAGCAACAGUUACAUGCCAUGCCAAAAAUUCUAAAGAUGUUAAACGCCAUGCUUGAAAUUUCUAAGAUGCUACACGCCAUAUUCAUGCACUUAGGGAAAUCCCCAGAGUUUUUACAUGCCAUAUGCCUAUUUUGUCUCGAUAUGUUACACGCCAUGCUAACAACAUUCAACUCAACUAGGCAUGCUGUAUAACAUCCUUAGGGAUUUCUACAUCUUUAAACAACACCAAAUGCCAUUUAAUAAUAUAAUCAAUGAAUAUGGCUACCAUCACAACAAAAACCACUCUAAAAACACAUAAUAUUAUCAACAAGUUUAAACUAAAAGCAAGCAUUUAAACCCUAUUGACACAAAAAAUAGAAUUCAAAACUCAAAACUCACUCCAUUUAACUAUAUUAUCAAGUAAUAUGACAUUCAAAAAACAAAACCUACUAAAAAACACAACAAAAAAAUUCAACAUUGACUAACUUACUUUGCUUUGAACUUGUUCGAACACUUUGCUAGCUUUUGAGUUUAGGGUAGAAUCAACUGAUGUAAAUGCUCAAAUGCUCUAUCUCGAUCAAAAAUGUAAAACCUAAAGUUGUUAGAUGCGAUUUAGAAAUGAAGCAAAUGAUGCUCUGCUCAAAUGAUCUCAAACGGUUUUUCUCUUCAAAUGGGCCGUGUGCUUGCAUACAAGGUAUUUAUUUUCAAAUUACUCUUAUGCUUGAAUAUGAGGAGUCUAUUUUCAAAUGGCACAUGUACUUCAAUAUGAGUAAGUUUCAUUAAGGGUACUUUGGUUCUAAAAUCUUUUUCUCUUAGCUAAAAACAAUUAAAGUUAUAGGGAAGGCUAUUUUCAAAAACACCUUAUCUUUGCUAGCUAUUUUAUAAUUUCGGCCUGUAUAAUAUUAUGAGAAGGGUUAUAAUGUUUUAAAAGAUUUGAAAACUCUGCCUCAAUAGUUGCAAGGUUCAAAACUUGAUUAAGCUACAAUGUUAAUCAUUCCUUUUUGAAGAUGCAAAUUUUCUCAAUAUCUCUCCCCUUUUUUGUUAUAUCACAAAGAAAGAUAGAAAUACAAUAAGCUCAAUUUGCAAAACACAAUAAGCACGAUAAGGAUCAUACUAAUUGUUAAAAAUUCAAUAAACUUAACAAUCAACAAGCCAAUUUUGAAAGAUAUGAUUACUAUAAGUGUGAAAUCCCACCUUGAGUAAAAUGAUAAGUUAGAAAAUCCUUAAAUGAGCAUUUGGAUUAUAUAUUUUGAACAUCAAACUUAGUUUUAACCUUCAAAACAAUCCAUUGACACUUUUGGUGGUCUGUCACUUAGGAAGUAGAAAUUUUUUUAAGUUUGGAAGUGUUCAAAAUAUGUGAUUUUUAUAGAACAAUCUUUUGGAAAUAAAAAAUUAGAAGUAAUGAUUACCUUGAUUUUUAGAUGACCAUAAAUGAUUUUUUCAUAAUUUUUGAAGCACAUUGGCUAUGGUAAAUGGGAACCGCAAAUUUAAUUGUAGUUGAACUUUUUCGAUUUUGUUCUUGAAACCAAAAUUUAGAUUUUGAUUCUUAUGAAUUUUGAUUUUUUUUGUAUCAAAUGGGGGGUUGUUUUCUUAUUUACAUUAAAUAUCUUAAGUAAAUAGGGAGUAAAAAGAAAAGAGAACAUUUACUGAAACGAUAGUUAAUGUAAAUAAGCUAGUUAGGUUGUAUGGGCAAUUUAUCUCAGAAAAAUGUAUUCUGUCUCAAAUGUAUCGAUACAUUUAGCUUAUAAAGGGUUUCUGAUGAACAUGUAUAGAUACAUGUUCAUAAUGUAUCGAUACGUUUUCUCCAUACCCAAAUGUAUUGAUACAUGGGCCAAUGUAUCGAUACAUUUUGUCUAUUUCAAAAUAAUAAAAGGGGUAAAAAUGUAUUUUUACACUUUAGCUUAUAAAUAUAUCACAUUUUUUUAUGAUUGGCAACCCUCAACUGCAUUUGCAAGGUAAUACACCUGUUCAUAAGCUCUUCCAACUCAUUUUUAACUCAAAUCUUCAUUUUUGAUGAUUACAUGAUGUAGUUUUGAGUUGUUAUGAAGAAAGUGACAUUUUUAAGCUUUGGAAACUUUAAAUCUCGAUUUCUAGUUUCUGAAAAUAUGGUUUUGUUGCCCAGAUUUGCUUUUGGUGAUUAAAUCUUAAAGGCUUUGUGAUUUCUUUAAGCAUCUAAGCUCACCUAAGGUAAAGAUGGAAGAUUUAUGGGUUUCUAAGCAUAGGUUUUAGCUAGAAAAUUAGUUUAGCUAAAAUCGAGUAGUUUCAAAAAUACCUAGAAUGAUUAUUAUGAAAUCUUUAUUCUAGGAUAUGAUUGUUAUGAUUGUUGUAUGAUAGGAACACUUGAAAACUCCAUGAAUAACGUUGAAACAGAAUUGUGAUUGAAGCUAGGAAUUGACUCUCCAAUUAGGUGAGUGAAUACACCUUUUCAAGUUUUUUAAUAUGUAAAGUUAGCAUGAUUUUUGUGGAAAUGGUUGUUUAAGCAUGUUUGAAACUUACUUCCAUAAAUGGUUUAUUAAAAGAUUUGAACUACAAGGUUUCAUGAAGUUUUGAAGGAAAGAUUCAAAUGACUUGGUUUGAUAAGGAUUAUGAUGUGCGACACAAUGAUUUUCAAAUUGUUUACGAAUCUACUAUGUAUGUAAAUAUGCUACUACGAAUCUACUAUGUAUGUAAAUAUGCUACUAUGUACUAGUUUUCAACGAGGGGGGACAAGCCCUUUUAUGUUUGUAGUCUACUCAAUUACUCCGAACUUCGGGCUAAUGUGGAUACGAGAUAUUUCUAGGGUUAAUGAAUGAAUGUUAUUAUGCAAAUGUUACAUAUGAUGUAGCAUGAUAAGAUUGUUGGAUGCAUGAGUUCCAUUUUUGAGAUUGUAACAUGUAUGCCAUGGAUGCAUGUGUUAAUGUCACGACCCAAAUUCUGAGCCAUGAUCGGUGUAUGGGCCUAAUAGACAUAGUCCACUAAGCCCAAGCAAGCCUAUUAAUCUGACAUGUUCAUCAUUCCAUCAUAAACUACUAAGUCACAUUUCAUAACUUAGGAUCAAAGUAAUAUUAAACAAUGCCAACUCAUACUGGCAUACCAAUUAAGUGUACAUUGCCUACAAUAUGUAUCUUAAUAAUUUACAUCAAGUUUGUCUAUACAUCUCAAAAAGAAGACUCGAUUUCUAGCGGAGAGACUCGAACGAAUGUACAGCUACUAAAUGCUGAGACACUUACCAAAAGAUGGAUAUAAGUCUACAAGGACACCUUGUCCUAGUUAUCGGCUACCUCGUGAUCUGAAAGCAUGAAGUUGAAAAUGGUGAGUAUAAACCCAAUGAGUGAACAAGGAAGGGAACAAGCAACAAUAAAGGAGAAUUUAAAAUCAUGAUGCACUUGUUUCAAAAUAAUGCAAUUUAGUUCCAUUCAUAUUAAAAACCCCUCAUCAAGCCCUUAAAUGAUUAAUCAUUUGAAAAUCAUGAACCCAUACAUAACGAACCAUUUGAAGAAUGAAAGCUUCAAUAUUACGCAAGCAAGUCAAAUACGACAACGAAUCUUCGCUGCAGCGACGUUGGGAUUAAGUUAUUAGCCGAACGAGGGUUUCUCAACUGGCCGAGGGUUUCUCACUAAACCUCCUCAUUUUAAACUUAACUCAUUUAGUACUUAAUGUUGGAAGUCCAUGCUCAGAUAUGGUAGCAAAGAAGUUAAAAAUAGGGUAGCAAUUGGACAAGAUAGGAAACAAAACAGAAAGUUUUUCGCUACAGCGAGAUUGAAUCUCACUGCAGCAAAAUUGUAACCCAGAAAUAGAAAGUUUCUCGCUGCAGCGAGUUUUCAGCCAAUCUACCCCUCCAAACUCGAGAGUUUCUCGCUACAGUGAAAAUGAUUGUCGCUGCAGCGAGAAAUAGAGCACCAAUGAAAAAUUUACCCUUCUUCCCAAAGAAAAACCACCCUACUGAAAUGUCCAAACCAACAUGAAACGCAUAACAGAUUUCCAAAGUUUAACAUGUCAAGUUUCACAUGCAUUACAACCAUAUACCAUUACUCAUUAAUUUCCUAUAACACACAUAUUUACAUAUGUAUAUGUAUACGUAUACCCAUCAUCAUCAUGCACACCAUCCCAUCAUCAUCAUACACACCAUCACAUCAUCAUCAUCACCAGCUCAUGCGCACUCUCUACUCGCACAUGGUGGGUCAUCACCAGGUUAUGCGCACUCCCUACUCGCACAUAACCGGGUCAUCCUCGGCUUAUGCACACUCCCUACUCGCACAUAGCCGGGUCACUAUAAUUACACAACAUUAUAUUCAAACAUAUAUGUAUAUCAACAUAAUGUAGUAUCAUAGGGAUCUAUGAUAACCACAUGUCAUAACAUAAAAUUGAUUUAUCAAAGGCUUGUUCCCAAGGCACUUGUUUUAACAAAAGUUGUGUAGAAUCAUUCAAAUACUUUGUACAAAACGGUCAUAUUCUCAAAAUGAUUUUGAUAGGCAAUCCACUCACCGGUAUAUUGUUGAGCCUUUAGAUAACUCCAAUUCCCCUAAUUGUCCAAAUGGGAUAAUGAGGCUUCCUUGAAACCUACCAUCACAUUAACAUCACCAUUAUGUUAAUUCACAUACUAUAAACCCUAAAAGCUAUCUCUUAGCUAGCCUUCAAUUGCCACUUUAAAUGGCUAUCUAUGUUCACUAUCUAAAUCACUAUAAAAUGAAUGAACAUCCUCAACAAUAAAAUAGCUCAUAAUCUAAAUUACUAGCCAUUAUCCACAGCUAAAAACCAAGCUUAGUGCAUCACUCACUUUAGGGUUCCUUUGUAGUUGAAUUCUCUUCCAAUAGCUUCAACAGAAAUGUGGUAAUUCUCUCUUUCUCUCUCUAGAACGCCCAACUAGUGAGAAAAAGUAUGAAAAUAAGAUUUUUCAAGGGUUUUAAGGAGAGAGAGUGGAAUAAUACAAGGGUUCUAGUCAUAAGGGCACAAAAGUAUGAAAACUAGAGCUAGAGAGAGAAAAUCAUGCAAGCUCCAUAUCAAGCUUCCAUGGAGGUUGGAAAUAAUGUGAGAUGGAAGAAGAAGACAAGCUGCUAGAAAAUGGGAGAAGAAGCUUCUGGAAGAAAGAUAUUUAUAGCCAAUCUUAUCCAUUCCUUUGAAAUUACCAAAUUGCCUAUCCACCAAUUAACUUACUCUCCUCCAACCCUUUAUGAAAUCUUUUUACUCCUUUGACACUGGGACAAGGUCCAUAAUAGUCUAGACAUACUCGGGUUCAUUAAAACUUAAAAUUUUAACUUGAGGUGAAAAAUGACCAUUUUGCCCCUAUCGUGAAAAUAAUCAAAAUUUUUGUUUCUUUUUUAUUUUACCUUUAAUUUCAUCAUCCAUUUAUGCCUUAGGCCUACUUAGGCCAUAAUAUUGUUUAAAAUCUUACUUUUGUGGGCUUACUAAGGAAAUGACGAAAUUACCCCUGAUCAGGGAUAUCGCAUAUACUUCUCUUUACGAGUCUAUAAAAGUCAAGGUCUCACAGUUAAGCAUAUCAUAUACAUUAUGGGCUAAGCAUGUAAGUGAUUUAUGAGGUUAUGAAAUGUAUGCCAUGAGAUGUAUGUGUUGAGAUAGUCAUAUACACUAUAGGCAAAGCAUGCAAGUGAUUUAUGAGGUUAUGAAAUGUAUGCCAUGAGAUGUAUGUGUUAAGAUAGUCAUAUAUACUAUGGGCUAAGCAUUUAAGUGAUUUAUGAGGUUAUGAAAUGUAUGCCAUGAGAUGUAUGUGUUAAGAUAGUCAUAUACAUUGUUGGCUAAGUAUGAUGAUAGUUUAUGGAAAUGUUAUAUAUUCAUGAUGCAAGCUAAGGAUGAAAAUGAUCCUAAGCUAAAGAGAUCUUAUGAUGAUAGUGGGUGAGGUUGAUGUGCUGCUCAUGCAGCUUUGAUGAUUGUUCAUGCGAGGUGAACCAGAUGGUAGUCAGGACUUUGUCCACUACUCGCCUGAGUGGGAUGGGACCACUCAAUAGAUCGUGGAUGAGGUCGAUGUGCCAUUUACGAGAGCACACUAGUAACCCAAAAUAAUGGGUGUUAAACCAUUAUUCACUGGAAUUGGGUGGACGCACUCAUAGUUAGAAUGUUGUGACGAAUAAGAUUAAUGGGUUAGAGAAAUGAAUGAAUGAGUAUUGCCUCAUGAUUUAUGCUUAAAAGCAUAGUUUAUGAUUAUGUGAGUAUUGAUGAUGUUAUUCACACUAUACUGUGGUGAUUUUAUCUUAGUUAGAUAGAACUUUAGCCUAGGGAAUGAUCCUUGAAUGCUAUAAAGACUUAUGAAUGGUUUAGAUUCAGGAAAAUCCCUAGAAAUUAGAUUAUGUGGGAAAAGUAUCGAUACAUAUGAAGUAUGUACAGAUACAUUUUCAAUAGAAUGCCACAAGAAAUAUUCUGCGUGAAAUGUAUCGAUACCUUUCUAAAGGUAUCGAUAGACUCCUUGCAUAUAUCUAUACAUUCUAGAAUCUAUUGAUUGUAUUGUUGCAGAAAUGGUUUUUCAACUGAUUUAAAGAGGUUUUUAAGAUUAUAUGGUUUUUAAUGAUUUAUGCAAAGAUGUUUUCCAUGCAAUGUUAUUUAAAGGAUGAUUAAAUGCUAUGUUUCAUGAUCAUUAUGGAAAUGAUGUUAAAUUUAUGAAUUAUAUGUAUUUAUAAUUGCAUGGUUAUGAAAAACUUUUAUUCCCCAGCUUGUCCUCUUCCCUGUAUGCACUCAUGGAGUCUUUGUGACUCACACAUUAUUUUCCUUUACUAUUUUUGAUGCAGAUCAGUGAUAGCUUUUUUGCUAGCAGCCAAUGUCAUGGAGAUGUGAUAUGUUCAUUUCUCAUUGGUAGGUGUCUAGCAGCCUCUCGAUGCCUAACGAGUCAGGUCAUGUUCAACUGACGAGACAGUCUAUGUUUUGUUUGCAAACUAUGAACAUGUUUUUUUUAUGGAUUAUUAGUAUGUUAUAAUAAUGAAGCUAAAUGUUUCGGCAUAUUACAUUAUGAAUGUUAUGUUAAAUGUGUAAAAUAUCUCAAGAGCUCGUAUGGACACUCGAGGUUAUUGAGACAUGUAAAUGUUAUGGUGCACUAGAAAUGUGGCACUCAGAUGAUAUAUGAAAUGUUG
This 19933-nucleotide long non-coding RNA is filed under the name Theobroma cacao (cacao). Its description in RNAcentral is "long non-coding RNA (TCAC_LNC002321)". The stretch from base 6765 to 6871 matches the Rfam family "Plant small nucleolar RNA R71". The record is from RNAcentral. Lineage: Eukaryota; Viridiplantae; Streptophyta; Magnoliopsida; Malvales; Malvaceae.